Lytechinus variegatus (green sea urchin) is the source of this 7824-nucleotide RNA transcript. RefSeq lists it as uncharacterized. The transcript is spliced from 2 exons. The record is from RefSeq and is a predicted model, not a curated record. Lineage: Eukaryota; Metazoa; Echinodermata; Echinoidea; Temnopleuroida; Toxopneustidae.
GGCAACAUAUUUUUUUUGGAAUAAUUUGCUAAAUGAAUAUGUUAAAUUGCAGCAUGCAUUUACUUGUUUAAUAUAUAUGUAAUUAAUCCUUUGAAUAAUAUGUUUAGCUAAUAUUUUUUAAAAUCUUGGCACAUAAAAAAUAAUAAGAAAUCUCUCGAAAUUCGUAUCAUUGCAAAUAUUUAGAAGCUUCGCUCUACUCAAGUAAAACUUAACGUUAUCGUAGCUUUCACAGUUAUAUUUGUUUUUAGGCGACUGGUAAAAGAAACUACGAGCAUACAAUUGUGCAAUUGCCGAGAUCACAUUUUUUGGUACCACAGCGGCAGUUUUGCCAAGAAAGUCCAGUUAGCAGAUUGCUUAUUAUGACUCCAAAACUUUAUUAAUUUCAACGGGAUUCAUCCCACACCUGAAGGUAUGUUUUUUGAGUAUUUACUUAAAGUUCUAGGACAAAAUAUGUGAUAAAUGGUUAUUUUAUUAGGUUUUUUAUGACACGUAUCAGGUUACAACAAUCCGUUUAUUUCAAUGUAAAAUGUAUCGUACGUUGAUAUUGUAAAGUUAGAGCCGUAGAGGUUCACGCAGUGGACAUUGAAAGUGAAAGUGAUUUGUUUCAAACUUUUGGGCUGAAAAGAGUAGUGAUGAAAGCCAAAGAUUAUUAUUAACUUGAGCUAAACAUUUGAAGGUUCAAACAUUUAGAAAUGAGUUUUUAUGCAUUCUUUACUGGAAAAAGGGAACUAUAUUUUUGGUUGAGCUUCCAUAGUGAAAGCUUUACGCACAAUGUCCACCGCGGAGUGAUAUUCUUCCUUGAAAUUUAGUGUGAUACGCCUCCGUAUAGACUUCAAUUCUAGGCGCUUUAUACAAAUUUGUUAUAGAUGCAAUUAUGCAUUAUUUAAACACAUAGAUUUACAUUUGGCUAAAAGAAAUAGAAAAGAAGCAAAUUGAUCAUUUCUUUUAUCUUAUCAGUUUAUCAGCCAAACCAUAUUGUUUUAAAGAUGCAUCUUUAGCAUGUAAACAAAUGCAAGUUUUAAAUAUACUAAAUUUGCAGUUUGGAAGUAGGUGGAGUAUUGUUAGAAAUACAUUUAAAAGUGGUAUAAGAGAAAUUGAGUAUUAACAUAAUUUCAUUGUAUUCACUCUAUUUGGAUUCAUUGUAUUCACUCUUUUUGGAGAAGCUUAAAGAGAUAAAUAUGAAAUGUUCACAACAAUAAGAAUGAAAAUGGAACUUAUUGUUAUUUACAACAAAGUAAAUGGAUUUAUUGAGCAUACAUGCUUACACAGUUAAUACUCCACAAGAGUAACUCAGUGUAACACUUCACAGGAGCAUUUUUCUUAUGAAUGCUUUCUUGUUUUGUUUACUUGUUACAGGGUUAAUCAACUCAGUUGUUGAAUGGUGCUUGAAAGUGAAACUACAAGAGAUUAAAGAAGGCAACAUGAAUCUCAUUAUACGCCUGUUCUAUAUAAGGUCUCUUCAUUGCAACAACGAGAAUUUGAGAUGUGGAAGUAUGGUGAUUGAGUGACUGAGUCCAUAACAAUCUUCAACAACUGACUCAAAUUGGACUCUGAGAACAACCUACCUCCAUCUUACACUAGAUUUAGUCAGCAUAAGGACUUGGAAGUUUCCUGAAUCUACCAUGGCCGACAUAAGCCAACUGAAGUUAUUGAGACGGAAUACUAAAGGAGCUUUAACUCGCACCUUAAACUCCAUUGAGAGGUUGCUAGUAGACCCUGCAAAUGACGCUGAAACCAUAAAAGAAUACAUAGCCAAAGCAGGGGAACAGUUCAAAGAAGUGGAAUGUAAACACACCAAGUUGGUAGAGAACAUAACAGAUGAAGCAAUAUACGAAGAAGAAGAAGAAUGGAUGGGAGAGUGUGAACAGAGGUUUGUGGAGACCAUCGUUCAUGCACGGAAGUUCAUCGGGUCUCUGAACCAAAGUGAGCCAAUUACUCUCAAGUCUGAAACGCAGCCAACACCCACGCCUUCAUCUGUCACACAAGGUGCAUCCCCACCAGCAGUGGGAGCUGCAUCUAUUCCUACAUCCCAACCUACCAACCCAGCAGCAACGACCAAUUCGGUUUCUCCUAGUCCAACAUCUGGUCUGUCAGCUGGUACUCCAAAAAUGCAAAAGAUGAAAUUUCCUACAUUUAAUGGGGACAUUAAAGAGUAUCAACGUUUCUGUACUUUGUUCAAACAUUGUGCCACAGAUCUAACAGAAAUAGAGUGUUUUUACCAGCUUACUCAAUCCAUGAUCAAUGCACGUGAGCGCAACAUGAUAAAGGGUUGCAUCAACGUACAGAGAGCCUGGCAAGUUCUAGAUGAGAAGUACGGCGACCAGGAUAGAGUUGUGGACAAUCUGCUUCAGGAAUUGGAGAACUUGAAGCCUUAUCAAACCAAAGGUAAAGUUAGUCUGAGCGCCAUGACUGUAUUUGUCCAGACAUUGCAGGUGUUUGAAAUGCAAGCAGAAACAAUUGGCCUUUCUGGAGAGCUGAAUAGUAAAAUCUUACUUAGUCAAAUCAAGCAAAAGAUGCCUGAGGAACAUCGCAUUGCCUACUACAAGAGUGUCAGAGAUGAACACAACAGUGACACGCUUGGAGGUCUGGUUAAAUGGCUACAUAGUCAGCUUCUACUACAAGAGAAGGCCAAGUCACCUUUUCCGGAGAAACUUAGUUCUUCUGAGACGAUGCAGAAUAAAAGUACCAAAUCAUCAAACGCUGCAACUUGGAACCAACCUAAACAGCAGAAUCGUUUCAAAGAACAGAAAGGCCCCAAGGUACCCAAGUGCGCUCUUCAUACAAACUCAAAUACACAUUUUCUGAAAACGUGUAUGAAAUUCAGGAAUCUGAGCCUCCAGGAAAAAUAUGACAUUAUGAAAAAACACAACAUUUGUAAUCGUUGUGGUCAUAACAAUUGUCAAGCUGGGAAGCCUCCUUUCGAUCUGAAGUCCUGCCAGUUUCCUUCACCAUGCACUAUCCAGACGUGUGGCAGUGAUGCCCAUUUCUCUGCCAUUUGUCCUGUAGUAUAUGGGAGUAAUACUGCUUCGGUGAAUCCACCCCGGGUUCAUCCACCAGACCAGAUGAAUGCCAAUGCAAGGUCAUUUCGUCCAGCAUCUGUAACUACCGUAACGGGAAAGGAACUCCAUGGUAUUCUCCCAACAGUUAUGGGCUAUCUUCGAAUAGGGAACCUUCGCCAAUUGGUACGCAUAUUACUUGAUGGUGGAAGCCAAGCUUCACUUGUUAGAGAAGGGAUCUUCCCAAGGACGGAACAUGACAGAUAUCAAGAGCAUGAAUUAACACUAGUUGGGGGAAACACCAUCUCACGGAGACUGAAACUCAUUGAUUGUCAAAUAGAGGACAUGAAAGGGAAGCACUCUUACCCACUGACAUUAACAGAGAUUGAUAAGCCAUGUGGAAACGCUCAAGUCAUUCAAGCAGAUAUUAUACAGCAGUAUGCCCACUUGAGUGAAAUUGAGGUCAACACUGCUCCUUCGACAACUAUCGAUGUUCUUCUCGGUGUUGACAAUACGUACCUGAUGAUCUGGGAAGAGUUCAUCAGGGGCCCGAGAUGUGAUGAUCCAGUUGCAGUCAGAUGUCCAUUGGGAUGGUAUAUCCAAGGAGGACGUUCGUGCGGUACUACCCCACUCCUCAACUACCUCAAUGUAUCUGCCAUCGGUCCAAUUGAAGAGUUUAUUGGGUUAGAGACUAUGGGUCUGGAACCAAAAAGAUGUAAAUGUUCAACAGACCUUCUGGACAGAAAUGCCACAGAGGUCAUGCAGCAAAGUGUGUCUCAACUCCCAAAUGGUUCCUAUGAGAUCGCACUUCCAUGGAAGAAACCCCCUGAGAGUUUACCAGACAAUUAUGAGUAUGCCGUGAAAAGACAAAAACACCUCGAGAAGCAGUUUGCUGACAGGCCUGCUGAAUGGGAGGUGUAUUGCAAGCAGAUGAGAGAUCAGGUUAAGAGGGGCGUUUCCAGACACGUGACAGACGAAGAGAUGAGACAAGACCGGGCUACAGGAAAGAAAAUGUGGUUUCUUCCACAUUUCGCAGUCACCAAGGACUCAACUACCACUCCUGUGCGAGUAGUGUAUGAUGGAAAGUCACGAUUCCAAGGUCAUGCACUAAAUGACUAUUUGAUGAAAGGAGAGAAUGUUAAUUCAAACCUGUUUGAAGUCGCCUUGCGCUUCAGAGAGAAUGAGGUUGGAGUUAUUGCUGAUAUAAGCAAGAUGUACCAAGCCAUCAAAAUCAAACCAGAUGAUGCCAGAUUUCAUCGUUACGUCUUCAGAGAGAGCCCAAGUCACCCGUUACAGGUUUUCGAGCUCAGCACUGUGACUUUUGGGGACAAACCCUCACCAACAGCUGCCAUCCUCACACUGCGACAUGUCGUCGAGGAACAUGCUCCAAGAGAUGAAGGACUGAAAGAUGUAGUUGUCCACCAGUUCUACAUGGACGAUCUGAACGAAUCUGUUUCUGAUGUGCAGCAAGCUCUUGAACUCAAAUCGAAGCUCACAAAGACCCUAGAGAAGGGAAAGUUCAAUCUACGUAAGUGGCAGUCAAACAAACGAGAGGUUUGUGAUGAGACCGAGGAUAUGAAGUCUGCAACAGUGCUUGGGACCAAAUGGAAUUUGGAGAAAGACACGCUGAGCGUCAAAGAGGUGAAACCAAUCAAGGGUAUACCUACGAAGCGCAGCAUUCUGAAACAGACGGCAUCAUACUACGAUGUCUUCGGAGUUUUGUCUGGAAUAUUGGUGAGGCCAAAGAUCCUCCUGCAAAAACUAUGGCAACUCAAUUUGGAUUGGGAUACGCCUAUUGACUCCCAAAAAGAACUCUGUGCAACACUGGAUGCCAUAAACAAGGACCUGGAGGAAGUAGUGGAUGUUGAGAUACCGAGAUGCCUAAUUCCAGAGGAGUUUAAAGGAACGAGACCCUUGCCUGAGGUGUCACUACAUGGACUAAGUGAUGCAUCUGAAGACGCGAUGGGCAUGGGAGUGUGGCUCAGGUGGUCCCAUCUGGAAGGAACAGGGGCAGAGUUGUCCUUUGUGUGUGCGAGAGCAAGGCUUACACCGCUGAAGCAAUCGAGCAUGCCCAGGAAAGAGCUGCAAGCAAUUCUUUUGCUGUCGAGACUGAUGUGCACGAUCAGAGAUGCCCUCCGUAUCAACAUAGCAUACUGGAAAAUAUGGACUGACAGUAUGACUGCCAUCAGCUGGUUGAGGGGUCAGUCCAAAUCCUUCCGUGCCUAUGUCGCCUACAGGGUAGGCGAAAUCACCACUAGAUUUGAUCCUAUCUCUGAUGUCGCCUAUGUACCAUCUGCCCAGAAUGCAAUUGACCUGGUGUCUAGAGGAGGUACUGCAAGUGAGAUGAAGCGAGUUAUAGAUGGUCCAGAGUUCUUAAAACUUUCUCCAUCAAUGUGGCCAAAGACACCCGAGAAUAUCCCUACAGAUCCAAAAGACAAAGAAAAGAAAAAGUUCCAUGUACGGAAUGCGAAGACAUAUGCACUAGGUGUCAAGAUGGAGGACAAAACGAAACCAAUCUUGGAUGCUACAAAGUACUCCAACUGGACAAAGCUCAAGAUGGUCACCGCAAGAGUAUUGUCUGUGAGAGAACUGCCAAAAAGCCAGUGGUUGAAGCAACUCAUGAUCCAGAUUGCACAGUGGCCAUCUCACAAAUUCAUACGAGAAGCAGAGCGGUACUGGAUUCGUCAGGCUCAGAAAGAUAUCAACUUUCAUGACCCUAACAUUCUGAAACUCGACCCAUUCCUUGAUGAAGACGGUGUCUAUCGUGUUGGUGGACGUUUGGACAGAGCACCGUUGUCGUAUGACCUGCGUCAUCCAUACCUUCUCCCGAAGAAGUGCCAUAUCAGUUACCUUCUUGUGCGAGAUAGUCACGUACACGCCGUCCAUGGAGGUUACCUGAGAACAGCUACUGAAGUCCGUAAGAAGUUCUGGAUUAUCGGUGACAUAUCUCUAGCACGACAUGUUGUCCGUAACUGUGUGACAUGCAAGAGGUACAAGGGAAAACCAGUCCAACAAAGAAUGGCUGAUUUGCCAUCGUUUCGAGUAACUCCUUGUGCACCGCCAUUCAAAACUACACUAGUGGAUUAUCUGGGCCCAAUCAACGUGAAACUAAACAGGAAUACCACAACGAAGGGGUACUGUGCACUGUUUACUUGUGCAGUCACCAGGGCCGUCCACCUAACUGUGGUGCAGGACCUUUCUACACAGUCAUUUCUCCAGGCGUUAGAAAGGUUUGUGAGCAUUAGAGGGGCUCCAGCUACAAUGAUCAGUGACAAUGCAACUUGCUUCCGUGGAGCAGACAACAAAAUCAACGAGCUGAACUUGAAGCUUGAUAAGAAACAAAUCAGAGAGCUUGGUCUGCGCUACCAGGUGGAAUGGAAAUUCGGACCACCAGGGGGACCUCAUCAUCAGGGAGCCGUUGAACGCAUGGUGCAAGAGGUGAAAAAAGCGAUGAGGCACCUUGUGAAAGCUGAUAAGCUAACCUUCGUUGAGUGGGAGACAGUGUUCUGCCAGAUUUCGGGACUUAUCAAUAGUCGCCCACUUACUGCGAUGUCGGCGUCACCACUUGAUCAGCCACCUCUAACACCUAACCAUUUCCUCAUUGGUCGGGGAGAUCUGAGCUGCCCUGACAUCCCUUGUGAGGAGUACAGGGGAGACCUGCGGAAGCGUCGCGAACUAUGCAAGACGAUGGUGGAUGGGUUCUGGCGCAGAUGGAUGGACUGCAUUCACAAACUGUCACCACGCAACAAGUGGCAAAGGUCAACAGAGAAUCUUGAAGAAGGAGAUAUAGUUCUCGUCAUUGGGGAUAGUAAGGCUCGUGGAUCGUGGAAGAUGGCAGAGGUCGUGAAAUGCUAUCCGGGGCAAGAUGAUCUCGUGAGAAUCGUAGAUGUUAAGUCCACUGAUCGUACAAUCGCGAAAAAGCCGGUGACAAAACUUGUGUCUCUAAUGAAAAGGUCAGAGCGAGAUGAUUUAGGUGACUAAAACUAGUGACAUUCCAAACAUUUCUGAUUAUAAAUCUUGUUUUCGAUAAAGGUCUGGACAAUCGCUCACUUUUGUAUUUUCAACAACAGUAUUAUGCGGUGACAUUUUUAUCAUCUUCAAUGGACAUUUCAAAUAGAAGAUUACAACAUUGAAAGACUGUUUAAUCGAUCAGGAGAUUGUGUUAGACUUCGUUUUGAACUUUACGGACAAGUAUUGUAUUGAGAAACAUUAUUUUUUGACGUCCCGUCGCUUUUGGGGGGUCGGAAUGUCAUGGCAACAUAUUUUUUUUGGAAUAAUUUGCUAAAUGAAUAUGUUAAAUUGCAGCAUGCAUUUACUUGUUUAAUAUAUAUGUAAUUAAUCCUUUGAAUAAUAUGUUUAGCUAAUAUUUUUUAAAAUCUUGGCACAUAAAAAAUAAUAAGAAAUCUCUCGAAAUUCGUAUCAUUGCAAAUAUUUAGAAGCUUCGCUCUACUCAAGUAAAACUUAACGUUAUCGUAGCUUUCACAGUUAUAUUUGUUUUUAGGCGACUGGUAAAAGAAACUACGAGCAUACAAUUGUGCAAUUGCCGAGAUCACAUUUUUUGGUACCACAGCGGCAGUUUUGCCAAGAAAGUCCAGUUAGCAGAUUGCUUAUUAUGACUCCAAAACUUUAUUAAUUUCAACGGGAUUCAUCCCACACCUGAAGGGUUAAUCAACUCAGUUGUUGAAUGGUGCUUGAAAGUGAAACUACAAGAGAUUAAAGAAGGCAACAUGAAUCUCAUUAUACGCCUGUUCUAUAUAAGGUCUCUUCAUUGCAACAACGAGAAUUUGAGAUGUGGAAGUAUGGUGAUUGAGUGACUGAGUCCAUAACA